AACGCGAAGAACCUUACCUGGGCUCGAAAUGCAGUGGACCGGGGUAGAAAUAUCCCUUCCCCUUAAAAGGCUGCUGCAUAGGUGCUGCAUGGCUGUCGUCAGCUCGUGUCGUGAGAUGUUGGGUUAAGUCCCGCAACGAGCGCAACCCUUAUUGCCAGUUGCCAUCGGGUCAAGCCGGGCACUCUGGCGAAACCGCCCUAGAUAAUGGGGAGGAAGGUGGGGAUGACGUCAAGUCCUCAUGGCCUUUAUGUCCAGGGCUACACACGUGCUACAAUGGCCGGUACAAACCGUCGCAAACCCGCGAGGGGGAGCUAAUCGGAAAAAGCCGGCCUCAGUUCGGAUUGGAGUCUGCAACUCGACUCCAUGAAGCUGGAAUCGCUAGUAAUCGCAGAUCAGAACGCUGCGGUGAAUACGUUCCCGGGCCUUGUACACACCGCUAGUC
Molecule: ribosomal RNA, 442 nt
Filed under: uncultured bacterium
Lineage: Bacteria
Description: bacterial SSU rRNA
Rfam family: Bacterial small subunit ribosomal RNA
Source: RNAcentral